CUCGUGUCGUGAGAUGUUGGGUUAAGUCCCGCAACGAGCGCAACCCUCGACCUUAGUUGCCAGCAUUCAGUUGGGCACUCUAAGGUGACUGCCGGCUAAAAGUCGGAGGAAGGUGGGGAUGACGUCAAAUCAUCAUGCCCCUUAUGACCUGGGCUACACACGUGCUACAAUGGGCGGUACAAAGGGUCGCGAACCCGCGAGGGGGAGCCAAUCCCAAAAAGCCGCUCUCAGUUCGGAUUGCAGGCUGCAACUCGCCUGCAUGAAGCCGGAAUCGCUUAGUAAUCGCGGAUCAGCAUGCCGCGGUGAAUACGUUCCCGGGCCUU
This 323-nucleotide ribosomal RNA is filed under the name uncultured Anoxybacillus sp. RNAcentral describes it as "bacterial SSU rRNA". It matches the Rfam family "Bacterial small subunit ribosomal RNA", at positions 1059 to 1382 of the family's 1533-position model. Lineage: Bacteria; Bacillati; Bacillota; Bacilli; Caryophanales; Anoxybacillaceae. The record is from RNAcentral.